AAAAAAUUCUAAAAAUAAAAUCCUAACUACCAAAAAUAGGAAAAACAAAAAAUAUCAAAAAAGAAAUCACAAAUCUGAAUAAAGCUACUUCUAUCUAAGAGUAUUCAUUCUAUAAACUAAACGAUAACUAUCCCAUGAUUAUAAUGUAUUAACAGAUUCUAAAAAAAAAAUGAUAAUGGCUGCCGGAGGCCCCUGUCCCCAUGGCAACCAAAGCCAAAUUUAUACAUAUAUUUACAUUGAAAAUUCUAAUUUUAUUUUAUCUUACUUAAUUUUAUUAUUAUUCGUAUAUCUAUUUUAUUUUUUUUUUUUAUUUUAUUUU
RNAcentral lists this long non-coding RNA (319 nucleotides) under Mytilus galloprovincialis (Mediterranean mussel). Lineage: Eukaryota; Metazoa; Mollusca; Bivalvia; Mytilida; Mytilidae. The record is from RNAcentral.